AGCCGCACUGAUUAGAUCGGGAGACUCAUCAAUUACAUUAAGGAAACCGAGAACGUUCUACAUUCCAAUGGCGGGCUGCGCCCUUCACAGGGUAACCUCUUCACGGAGGCCGGCAGAUUACAAAGGGUGUGGGCACUCAAAUCAUUCAUACUCGGAGUUCUCAUCACAUCAUCAGUGCGGCUUCUU
Molecule: small RNA, 186 nt
Filed under: bovine gut metagenome
Description: Bacteroidales-1 6S-Bacteroidales RNA suggested
Rfam family: Bacteroidales-1 6S-Bacteroidales RNA suggested
Source: RNAcentral